RNAcentral lists this ribosomal RNA (482 nucleotides) under uncultured bacterium. RNAcentral describes it as "partial 16S ribosomal RNA". It matches the Rfam family "Bacterial small subunit ribosomal RNA", at positions 30 to 507 of the family's 1533-position model. The record is from RNAcentral.
AUUGAACGCUGGCGGCAUGCCUUACACAUGCAAGUCGAACGGUAACAGGUCUUCGGACGCUGACGAGUGGCGAACGGGUGAGUAAUACAUCGGAACGUGCCCGAUCGUGGGGGAUAACGAGGCGAAAGCUUUGCUAAUACCGCAUACGAUCUACGGAUGAAAGCGGGGGAUCUUCGGACCUCGCGCGGACGGAGCGGCCGAUGGCAGAUUAGGUAGUUGGUGGGAUAAAAGCUUACCAAGCCGACGAUCUGUAGCUGGUCUGAGAGGAUGAUCAGCCACACUGGGACUGAGACACGGCCCAGACUCCUACGGGAGGCAGCAGUGGGGAAUUUUGGACAAUGGGCGAAAGCCUGAUCCAGCCAUGCCGCGUGCAGGAUGAAGGCCUUCGGGUUAUAAACUGCUUUUGUACGGAACGAAAAGCCUCUUUCUAAUAAAGAGGGGUCAUGACGGUACCGUAAGAAUAAGCACCGGCUAACUACGUG